AAUCAACGCUGGCGGCGUGCCUCAGACAUGCAAGUCGAACGAUUAAAGCUCUCUUCGGAGAGUGUAUAGAGUGGCGCACGGGUGAGUAACACGUAAGUAAUCUACCUUUGAGUGGGGAAUAACAGUCGGAAACGGCUGCUAAUACCGCAUAACGCAGCGGCACCGCAAGGUGACAGUUGUUAAAGGAGCAAUCCGCUUAAAGGGGAGCUUGCGGCAGAUUAGCUUGUUGGUAAGGUAACGGCUUACCAAGGCUACGAUCUGUAUCCGGUCUAAGAGGACGGUCGGACACACUGACACUGAAUAACGGGUCAGACUCCUACGGGAGCAGCAGUCGGGAAUUUUGGCAAUGGGCGAAAGCCUGACCCAGCAACGCCGCGUGAAGGAUGAAGUAUUUCGGUAUGUAAACUUCGAAAGAAUA
Molecule: ribosomal RNA, 418 nt
Filed under: uncultured bacterium
Lineage: Bacteria
Description: bacterial SSU rRNA
Rfam family: Bacterial small subunit ribosomal RNA
Source: RNAcentral